GAUGAACGCUGGCGGCGUGCCUAAUACAUGCAAGUCGAGCGAACAGACGAGGAGCUUGCUCCUCUGACGUUAUCGGCGGACGGGUGAGUAACACGUGGAUAACCUACCUAUAAGACUGGGAUAACUUCGGGAAACCGGAGCUAGUACCGGAUAAUAUAUUGAACCGCAUGGUUCAAUAGUGAAAGACGGUUUUGCUGUCACUUAUAGAUGGAUCCGCGCCGCAUUAGCUAGUUGGUAAGGUAACGGCUUACCAAGGCAACGAUGCGUAGCCGACCUGAGAGGGUGAUCGGCCACACUGGAACUGAGACACGGUCCAGACUCCUACGGGAGGCAGCAGUAGGGAAUCUUCCGCAAUGGGCGAAAGCCUGACGGAGCAACGCCGCGUGAGUGAUGAAGGUCUUCGGAUCGUAAAACUCUGUUAUUAGGGAAGAACAAAUGUGUAAGUAACUAUGCACGUCUUGACGGUACCUAAUCAGAAAGCCACGGCUAACUACGUG
This 497-nucleotide ribosomal RNA is filed under the name uncultured bacterium. RNAcentral's name for it is "partial 16S ribosomal RNA". It matches the Rfam family "Bacterial small subunit ribosomal RNA", at positions 28 to 507 of the family's 1533-position model. The record is from RNAcentral.